AGUGAACGCUGGCGGUAGGCCUAGCACAUGCAAGUCGAACGGCAGCACAGUAAGAGCUUGCUCUUACGGGUGGCGAGUGGCGGACGGGUGAGGAAUACAUCGGAAUCUACUUUUUCGUGGGGGAUAACGUAGUGAAACUUACGCUAAUACCGCAUACGACCUACGGGUGAAAGCAUGGGAUCUUCGGACCUUGCGCGAUUGAAUGAGCCGAUGUCGGAUUAGCUAGUUGGCGGGGUAAAGGCCCACCAAGGCGACGAUCCGUAGCUGGUCUGAGAGGAUGAUCAGCCACACUGGAACUGAGACACGGUCCAGACUCCUACGGGAGGCAGCAGUGGGGAAUAGUGGACAAUGGGCGCAAGCCUGAUCCAGCCAUACCGCGUGGGUGAAGAAGGCCUUCGGGUUGUAAAGCCCUUUUGUUGGGAAAGAAAAGCAGCAGGUUAAUACCCCGCUGUUCUGACGGUACCCAAAGAAUAAGCACCGGCUAACUUCGUG
RNAcentral lists this ribosomal RNA (492 nucleotides) under uncultured bacterium. Its description in RNAcentral is "partial 16S ribosomal RNA". It matches the Rfam family "Bacterial small subunit ribosomal RNA", at positions 29 to 507 of the family's 1533-position model. The record is from RNAcentral.